AUCAGAGGGUGGAGCUAACCAUAGAGGCCAAGCAGUGGUGGCUCACACCUUUAAUCCCAGCACUUGAGAGGUGGAAACGAGAUUCCCCCAUUUCCAGCUGAGUAACCGGCGCAGAGACUACAACAGCAGACAGGACACAGCCUGAUCGUGAGGAACAUCCAGGAAAAUGGCCAUAAACAAGCUUGCAGAAAUGAGCUUCAGGUAUAGCAACACUUCAGUCCAAGACAACUGCGUAAUCCACAGACAUCACAGCUAAGCUGUUUACUUCACUGAGCCACGGCGACAAGAUUUGAAGCAAAACGGGUCAGCAGACGUGGUUUCAAGUCCCAACUAUCACCAUCAUUAUGCAGUCCUGGGAAAACCGUGUCCCUUCUCCGAUUUCCAUAAAAUAACAGGGAUGACAUUCAGCCAUGCCUAACAUCUGUCUUUUCUGGGAAAUUCAGUAAAUCCUUUAAGGCAGUU
Peromyscus leucopus (white-footed mouse) is the source of this 462-nucleotide long non-coding RNA. RefSeq lists it as uncharacterized. The transcript has 3 exons. Lineage: Eukaryota; Metazoa; Chordata; Mammalia; Rodentia; Cricetidae. The record is from RefSeq and is a predicted model, not a curated record.